Long non-coding RNA from Cygnus olor (mute swan), 1603 nucleotides. RefSeq lists it as uncharacterized. The transcript is spliced from 3 exons. The record is from RefSeq and is a predicted model, not a curated record. NCBI's taxonomy places the organism in Eukaryota, Metazoa, Chordata, Aves, Anseriformes, Anatidae.
ACACAGUAAGACUAGGUUUUCAGCAACCGCUGUUAACAACAGGAAGAAAUGCUAAUUAUUUUUUCCAGAUUCACGUGGUAUUUUUCACUUUUUCUGUCCACUAAACCACCAGAGAUUUCAUGGUGAAAAGACAGAAAAAUAUGAACCCUGACUUCACCUAAUAUGCACAAGAGUGCAGCAAGCCUAUCAAUUUGAGUCCUGCUAUACCCAUGUGCCUACCACAUGCAACAGCACACAGGAAGAGACCUAUGGAUUGCCUUGGGAACCCAAAGGGAGGGAAACAUGAAGUCCCUGGCAUUGCUUCUGGAGACAAGACAGAUUUAGAGAAAACAUUAAUGGCAUACUGACAGGUUGUACUUUUAGGACUUAUACGACUUACUAAAAAAAUAAAUAGGUAACUAGAAUCUUUACCAGUCAUAAGUUUUUUAAACUGACUUUACCAGUCAGAUUAAUACAAAAACUCAGUGUUUUUGUAUUAGAACAUUAUUUUGGGCUAAAAAUAAAUCUUUCUGCUUACAUUCUGUGGCGUAUUUUUUCCCUAUUUCUGUUUUAAAGACACAACAUAGCCCACCCCUUCCUAACCGAUAUUUUUGAAGAGUAUAACCAAAGCCUUCCAGGACUCUUGAUGGCUUAAGUAUACAGUAGAAAGAGUUUACAAUUGCAUUCAGUUUUCCCAGUGUGCAGAAAAGAUGGCUAAUGGAAUUAACAAAUCGCUUGCUGUUCCACUAGUAACAAGUUUAAAUAACAACAAAGCUUCUUCAGUCAACGCUACUGAAGAAGUGCCUCCUUAAACAGUUCACAAUACAUGAGGGAUUACCUCAGACAGCAACUAAAAAAUGUUUGUGAUUUUUCUUUUUUAAAUUUCUCUCGCUAGCGUUAAUCUACAUAGACAAAACUUUAACCCUUCCACAACUUGCUAUUUUUCAUAAUCAUUAAGUGUUUAUACCAAACUGAAAAAAAAAAACAAGUAUCUUACUUGAAGGGCUAAGUUCAACUAUCAUGAACACAGCAUAAUCUAAAACUGUUCCACUUAAGUCCAAGAAAUUAUUCCAAAUUUUACCUUUUUCUUGUAGAGAUAAUAAACAAUGUUAAAUAGAUAAAUUCUUUUCCAAAGAAAAGUUAUUCUAAAAAUAAAGCUGAAUAGCUCUUUUCUUCCUUCUCCUUGUACGUAUUUGAUGUAAAUCCACUGCCAUCAGCGGUGGCAUUCUUAGUUUAAGCCAGUGUGAAAAGAAACCAAGGAUCUGUUUACAAACUUCUGACAUUUCAUAGUGAUAAACAGUUUAUUAAAAAUACAUCAAUAUCCCAUAAUAACUGGGGGCUAAGAGGCUAAGACUGUUAUUGUUGUUUUGAAAUAGAUAUUUAUCAAAGGGAUAGAGAGGUUUUUAUUUAACAUCAGGUCAGAAUAUGACGACUCCAAACCAAUUUUUUUACAUAUAUAUAUAUAUAUAUAUAUAAAGUUCUAAAGCUGGAAACACUCUUCCUAAACAGUAACUGUAUUCCUUAAUUAUCCUUGAAAAGAAGGGUUGGACUAACCCUACAUUUUAAUCUUUUAGGAUUUAGUUUAGCAGGAUAAAGAGAUUGGAAGAGCGUUUGGAAAGGGUGU